CAAAAGAUAAGCUAAGUAAGCUAAUGGGCUCAUACCUCAUUUAUGAGAGCUAACCUCUCUCUUUUUA
This 67-nucleotide transfer RNA is filed under the name Cherax destructor. Its description in RNAcentral is "tRNA-Met". The record is from RNAcentral. Lineage: Eukaryota; Metazoa; Arthropoda; Malacostraca; Decapoda; Parastacidae.